UAGAUUGAAGCCCGCUGGUUUAGGCUUUUAGUUGUUAACUAAAUAUUUAUGGGAUCAAGGCCCGUCGAUCUAG
RNAcentral lists this transfer RNA (73 nucleotides) under Delma butleri. RNAcentral describes it as "tRNA-Asn". The record is from RNAcentral. Lineage: Eukaryota; Metazoa; Chordata; Lepidosauria; Squamata; Pygopodidae.